Chenopodium quinoa (quinoa) is the source of this 6334-nucleotide RNA transcript. RefSeq lists it as uncharacterized. The record is from RefSeq and is a predicted model, not a curated record. Lineage: Eukaryota; Viridiplantae; Streptophyta; Magnoliopsida; Caryophyllales; Amaranthaceae. The transcript is spliced from 10 exons.
ACAUAACUAUUCUCUUUACGCAAAACCCUGAACCCACUUUUCUUAAGUUCAUGGGCGACUCCACAGCAACAUCACAAUGGCUACCCACCACCUUCACCUUAACUUUCUCUGUUGCAGCCAUUACUGCUUUUUUUAUACUGGGAAAAAAAUGGAGAGCCAUGGAAUCAAAUGUCAAAGAAUUGGAGGCAUCUCUUAAAUCUUCUGUUGAUAAAUGUGCUGCUGAACGACAAGGCCGAAUUAGAGCUCAACAGGAAUUGAGGAAGGCACUUCUGCAACAGAAGACAGAGAAUAUGGAUCCAACAUCUUAUCCCAUGAUUCCGAUUGGUACAGUCCAAUCUUGCUUCUCAACCAGGAAUGGUACGCCUAGACAACCUUUGCUGGUGCCACUUGCUCGAGCAUGUUUGAUGUUUGACCCAAUGAGGGUUCCUCCGGCAUCUUUGGAAGGUCUUGAAGAGUAUUCUCAUAUUUGGAUUAUAUAUGUGUUCCACUUAAAUACUGAUUUGGAUAAGUUGUGGUUAGAGCCUUCCAGAUCGAAGAUCAAAGCCAAGGUGAGGGUGCCACGAUUAAAAGGAGGCAAAAAAGGAGUAUAUGCAACAAGAACCCCCCAUCGUCCCAGUCCAAUUGGUCUAACUGUUGCUAAGAUCGAGGCUGUACAAGGACACAUGAUUUUACUUUCUGGUGUUGAUUUGGUAGAUGGAACACCAGUACUGGAUGUGAAGCCCUAUCUUCCAUAUUGUGACAGCAUCCAAGAUUCAAUGGUGCCAGAAUGGGUUAAGGAAGACAGCUUAUUAGCUGUGGCUUCUGUUAUUUUCUCUGAGAGCUUCCACUCUGCUCUUGCAGAUUGUUGGGAAUCAGUGAGAAGAUGAAAGGGAAAAAAUACUUGAUUGAAGAUCUCAACUCACAGUCGCGUCGUGGAACAAUAAUCCACUGCCUUAGAAGAGAAAUACGCCACCACCGGUACAAGUUUCCUAGUGACGCACACCCCCCAAGUUUAACGCAACUCUCCCCGUAAUUCGUGCACCCGAACCCGAAGAGUGGAAUUGCUCAAGAACUGUUCAGAUCUCAAAGGGUAGGUUUUUUGUUUAUGUGUUAAGGGUUCAAUAAUAUUAAAAUUAUGAAUACAGGAAAGGCAAUGCUCGUAUUUAUAUGUGUCCCAAAAUUAGGAAACAAAUAAACAAAUCGACCUAAGGAAAAAAGGCGGGUCCGAUCGGGCAACCAGCCGCCCAAUCGGGCGCGAGAUGAAGUUUUCCAGACCUGGUGUCGCGCCCGGUCGGGCGAACCACUGCCCGAUCGGGCGAUCUAGAAAACCCACCUCGGGCGAGCCAUUCGGGCGAGAGCCGCCCGAUCGGGCUCUUCAUAAACUCGAGUCCGUCGCCUGGUCGGCCGAGGGCCGCCUGAUCGGGCGCGAGAGUUCUCCUAUUUUCCUUAGCCACCUCCGCCCGGUCAGGCGAACCACCGCCCGAUCGGGUGCGAGAAUCCGUUUGCAUUACCUAUUUCCAACAAUCCCCCACUAAUGCGAGCGGAUCUUCAACAUGAAAUCUGAACAGUAAAUGAAAGUCUUAGUACUUAAAUGCUAGUAUCCAAAGGUUUGAACUAACACAUCAGUGCACAAGGUUUUCAACACUUCCCUAGUGAGUAUCUUAAGAUUUGAACUCCUAGGAGCGAGGAAGGGACCUUGAAUACACAUACCUUGACUUUAGAGCUUAAGCAACUCCGCCAAUCUUGGCCUACACCUUGGGCUCUCAUGAGUAAUUCAGGAAAACUACACCACAAUUUUCCUUUGAAGGAGGCCACCCCUCGUACUCACGUAGGUGUUCUGUCUGUGUAUAAAUACACAUUCCCAGCACAUCUAGGGUCUUUCCUUGCAGGCUUAAAACACAUUCAAGCACCUUGCAAACCCAAGAUUUUUCUGUGCAAUAGAAUAAGAACAUUAAGAACGAAAAGUUCAACCCUAUCAACUCGACGGUGCAUCUAUCAAUCCACUGCUCAAUGAGCUCUUAGGCUAGAUGCAUUAAGGGAUACUCCCAACCUCAGUCAUUCGGUACCACUAUCGUUCCCUACUCGAGAAGUAUCAGGGCUAGUGAUUCUAAUGCAUUUAAGGAUCACUGUCGUUUCCUACUCUCAAGCAACUGGGCUAGUAGUAUUAAGAGCAAGCAAUGCUCAACCUUCCACCUUCGGUGUCAUUUUCAAUCCUACUCUAAGAGCCACUGGGCAAAUAAAUUAAGAGCCAGACUCAACCUUACUAAAUAGAAAAAAAAAUUAUAGAUUCAAUAAACAUAAAUGGUGUAAAUCCAACAAUGAGUUAACCAAAACAAGGCUCUAGACCCAUUCAGAACAAAAGUUCAAUAAAUUACAACACUUCGGUGUGUCCAUGUAAGCCGUCUCAAUUGACCACCCAACCUGGGUUAUGGACAUAUUAAGAGCACUUAAAGCUCAACCUGUAAACAUCAAGCAAAAAGUCUAUCAAAGUAUCUCAUAACCAUAUAAAUUAGAGGGUUAUCAAGAUAACUUCCAAACGUAGACUCAUCUUUUAAACUUCGUCACUAGAAUAAUUUAAAAUACCCCACAGGUUCUUAAAUAUAUUCUCUUAGACAAUCAAGCACUUACCUGUGCUUCAUCCUAGUAUAAGGACCUGCUUGAUUCUUCUUUACUUUCACGUACUCUAACAUGAGUAUCACCUCCACAAGAUCUGUCUAAUUUUGUCACUACAUCUGUAGUUCCUGACAACAUACAUAGACACUUGUGAAAAAUAAUGUAGAGAACAUGAGGAUCACCUUACCCCCACAAUGGACAAACUUCCAGAGAUUAAUUUUAUCAACAAUCAUCUUCUUGACACACGUCAUCCAAUCUAAUGAACCUUUGCUUCAUAGUGGAUAGUGUACAACAAUUUGUUUUGCAGCUCACUCGAAACAGAGCACUGCCCUUCAUCAUGUAAAAGCCAUACACUGAAGAGGUUCAACUAAUCAUCGUUGUUCAUUCAAUCAUUGUCUCUUAGAAUUUACUGGAUAGGUACUUGAGAAACUUUCUCACUUUAACCUUCAUCCCUAAACUAUCUGAAACUCAGACAAUAAUUGAGUAAUUCUCUCUUAACAAACAGAAUGAACAAUAUAGUUCACAACAAAAACACUACACGUCAAGAAUAGUUUGUUCAUCAUUUAGAUUGCAAAACAUUAACACAUUUGUAUUAAACACCAAGGCCAAAUAAUAAAAAUAAAAAUAACUCUGGCUUAGGCAUGAUAAAUAUAAAUUACCAAACCACUUUCUCUACAUCACAAUAAUGAGAUUGAUGCGUAUCUUUAUUAGUUCAUUGGUAUACUGCCUAGAACUAUUCUGCUCAUCUCAUUAUCUUGUACUUGUUUCUUGGCUUAGAGACACAUAUACAUCUUUAUCUCAAUAAACAACAUGCAUGUGAAGUUAGUAACUUAUGAUCAUUCUAGCAAAUGAACUCUAUCAAUGCGAACCAUAGUAACAUCACACAUGCAUCGAGAAUUUCAACUCACAUGCCAAGAAAAACUUAACAUAACAAGUUAGAGUACUCAAAUCUAACCCCCACUCACCAUACAUAUCACAAAGGAUAUAACAUCAUGAGCAAAAAUACCUCAUCUUCUAAGUUGUCACCUGUGUAUGCGUUUUAAAUACACACCCUUGAUUUACAAUCAAUCAUGCUAGGAAGCUUAAGCAACCUUACUGCAAAUCAAACAAGCUUAGAACAAACCAGGUGAGUAAUAAGAGCUGAAGCACCAAACUUACAAAAUAAAUCCUAAAAACAUAGUAUCUUACCUUUAGCCCAUUUCCAAUCAACCACCUUUCAACUCACCUUGAAAGAUACUUACAACAGAUGGAUUUCUAAUAGCAAGGAAAGAUAUACUCUUCUCAAACAUAUCAGACUCAAAGAGAGUGCACAACUCGCGUUUACAUGCUUCUUUCCACAACUAGUCAAUCAGGUUUAUCCAUAUGGUUCAGAAUUUUUCCAUUCACCACUACAUGAAUAUAUACCACACAACAAACAUCUACAUACAACUCGAUUAAGAAAGUAAAACCAAGAUGAUAUAACACUAGUUUAAGCUUUAAUCCAAUACACCUUAGAUGAUGAACUCAUCAACUUUACUGGCAGAAUAAAGCUUAGGAAGCAAGAACAAAUCCUAUGAACGAGCAAAACUAACAUGUCAUGUCACAGGAAAACAUAUAACUUGAGACAUUUCAAGGAUUUAACAUAACAAGCUCGUACAUGAUAAACGUAGCAGAUAUUCAGCAUACAUAUCACCCACAGUCCCACAAGCCUUCAUACUUUACGUGAAACAUAUCUAGAAGUCAAUUCUUUAUUAUUGGAAACCCCCACAUCACAGAUACCACAUGAAAAUAAUCAUAAAUCAGGUAACAAAUUAGGGAGUAUAAACCAAAUUCUUGGGUGAAAUACUUACUAAACAAAUAAACAACUGAUACAUAUCUGCAACCCCCACAAUACUAACAUUCACAAAAGAUUAAUAGUUUGUAAAGACAUAGAAUGUUAAUUCCCAUCCUUACCUCAUGUGGGGCACUUACACUUCAAACUUGCACGACCAUUCUAGCUUUACUUAGUCAAGCCUUUUUUAUUCUGCUAAUAAGUACGGAAAUCAACUUGGUCUCAUCUAGACCAUCAACAAGAAAAAUAAUUGCUACACCUCUAGCAAAUUAAAUACAUUUCAAGUUCGUGAACAAAAUUAAGAUCACAAGAAUUAAAAGAAACAAUAAUUCUAAAUCCCUUUUUAAUCUAAAAAGGGACACUUACAAGCUUAUCACAUACUCUGUGCUCAACAAAACAUUGUCCAUGAUUGGGAAUAAGGUCAACAAAACACUAUCGUAAGAUUAAACACAUGUCAUCCCUAAUCUACUAGGACAAAACAUACAUUAGCAGAAAUAAAUUACUUGCAAACCAACAAGCAAAAAGCUAUAGAUAAAUGUCACUUUCGGAGACCUUCCUCCUCAAUACCACUCAUCAACAAGAGUACAAACUAACUUACUAGUUAGUCACAAAAAUCUAACUCAAAACACCCCCACAUUGCUAAACAAUAGCUCAUAAUAAUUAAAUUAUGCAUAUAUAACAGAGGCACAUAAUAAUAGACACAAAUAUUAUAUGGAGUUAGAAAUUACUUAAAUAAAUUGAGAAGGAUAACUUAUCUGAUAUCUUGAUUAUAAUCAUAUGCCAUAAUAUCUCGCCACUAGCUGCGUCACUGAUGAAUUGUCAUCGAGGCUUUAUCUCAAACAAUAUUGAAAUCAAUCCACUUUAUUGCAAUUUUGAUUAUAGAUUUAUAUAGCAAAUAAAUCUCCCAUAACCGACUUGAUCGCAACAAAUUAAUCAUGACAUUAAACCUUGAGGAGAUUAAGCCCAACUUGACAGCAACUUUACCAAAUCAUGGUAUAUGAUUUUGACGACAGAUGCGCAUAGCAUGAUCAUAAUCGCACACUUUAAUUAUAUUCCAAAUUAAAACCUUUAGAAUUCCAUUACUUCCACCGAUACUCUUCAAUGGAAAUUGCAUCCUUUCCAUUUUAUUUUUUCUUUAAUUCUUUAGAGAAUUAUGGUCCAAAAUGGAGACAAGACUUGAUGAUACCACAUGGAGAAUUUUUUAUUCAUUUUUUGAUUAGGAGUACAGCAAAAUCAAAAGAUUAUGAUUCCCAAAUUCGCAAUACAACGUUACGGAAAUUCGACAAUAAACCUUUGCCGAUCCCGAAAUUAAUUGCUCUUGUGAAUUUCUCACUCCGAAUCCAUUAUCUGAUCACUAAUUAAAUAUUCCCUAAAAAAUUAGGGUUCUUUGAACUUCAAAUAAUAUGAACGUUGACUUAACAAUCCCAAAUUAAUUUCGAAAAAAUAAUGAUCAUCUGAAUCGUAAAUAUCCCGAUCAUACUAGUUAUAAUUGAAAAAUCUAGGAAUCAACAGUAUAAUAAAUUAAUACUAUUUCGCUUCUAAAUUGUUGGUAAAAUACCUGUCGAUUCCAAUAACAAAAUAGAGAAGAUGAAAGGGAAAAAAUACUUGAUUGAAGAUCUCAACUCACAGUCGCGCCGUGGAACAAUAAUCCACUGCCUUAGAAGCGAAAUACGCCACCACCGGUACAAGUUUCCUAGUGACGCACGCCCCUCAAGUUUAACGCAACUCUCCCCGUAAUUCGUGCACCCGAACCCGAAGAGUGGAAUUGCUCAAGAACUGUUCAGAUCUCAAAGGAAGAGAAGCAGUUUGUAUUCAUCACAAAGUGAGAUGAAGAAAUUGAUUGAGCAGGUUCUUUCAUGGGACAUACGAUCAUCAUCACAGAGACACCGACCUCAUAAAUCCAUAUUGACAGUAGGAAACGUAGAACCAGCC